RNAcentral lists this ribosomal RNA (305 nucleotides) under Lestagella sp. 2 LLPDC-2017. RNAcentral describes it as "partial 12S ribosomal RNA". The record is from RNAcentral. Lineage: Eukaryota; Metazoa; Arthropoda; Insecta; Ephemeroptera; Teloganodidae.
AUGUGUGCAUACUUCAUAGCUUCAGUCAACUAGGCUCUCUUAACUAGGUUACUACCAAAUCCACCUUCAUCUAUUAUUACAAAUAGUUUCCGUUUAGGCCUACCUAAUGUAACUCACUUUUUCUCAAACAUAAGCUGCACCUUGACCUGACAUGUUUCUUUAAAGAGACGUGAAUAUGUUUUACCAAAAUUUUCUGAUGASGGCGGUAUACAGGCCUUAAUUUAAGUUAGUUAUAGUGGGGGUUAUCAAUUAUAAAACAAGUUCCUCUGAUAAGUUAGAAUACCGCCAAAUUCUUUAAGUUUCCA